RNAcentral lists this non-coding RNA (30 nucleotides) under Rattus norvegicus (Norway rat). The record is from RNAcentral. Lineage: Eukaryota; Metazoa; Chordata; Mammalia; Rodentia; Muridae.
UAGCAUGCUACAGAUGAAGCUGACUAGGGU